RNAcentral lists this ribosomal RNA (497 nucleotides) under uncultured bacterium. RNAcentral's name for it is "partial 16S ribosomal RNA". It matches the Rfam family "Bacterial small subunit ribosomal RNA", at positions 28 to 507 of the family's 1533-position model. The record is from RNAcentral.
GAUGAACGCUGGCGGUGUGCCUAAUACAUGCAAGUCGAGCGAACAGACGAGGAGCUUGCUCCUCUAACGUUAGCGGCGGACGGGUGAGUAACACGUGGAUAACCUACCUAUAAGACUGGGAUAACUUCGGGAAACCGGAGCUAAUACCGGAUAAUAUAUUGAACCGCAUGGUUCAAUAGUGAAAGACGGUUUUGCUGUCACUUAUAGAUGGAUCCGCGCCGCAUUAGCUAGUUGGUAAGGUAACAGCUUACCAAGGCAACGAUGCGUAGCCGACCUGAGAGGGUGAUCGGCCACACUGGAACUGAGACACGGUCCAGACUCCUACGGGAGGCAGCAGUAGGGAAUCUUCCGCAAUGGGCGAAAGCCUGACGGAGCAACGCCGCGUGAGUGAUGAAGGUCUUCGGAUCGUAAAACUCUGUUAUUAGGGAAGAACAAAUGUGUAAGUAACUAUGCACGUCUUGACGGUACCUAAUCAGAAAGCCACGGCUAACUACGUG